Trichonephila clavipes is the source of this 73-nucleotide non-coding RNA. The record is from the annotation of a GenBank genome assembly. NCBI's taxonomy places the organism in Eukaryota, Metazoa, Arthropoda, Arachnida, Araneae, Nephilidae.
GUCCCUGUAGCGCAAUGGAUAGCGUGUUGGACUUCUAAUCCAAGAAUCGUGGAUUCGACUUCCACCUGGGAUA